Molecule: ribosomal RNA, 2591 nt
Filed under: Streptomyces sp. 2314.4
Lineage: Bacteria; Bacillati; Actinomycetota; Actinomycetes; Kitasatosporales; Streptomycetaceae
Description: bacterial LSU rRNA
Rfam family: Bacterial large subunit ribosomal RNA
Source: RNAcentral
UGUGGCCAAGUUUUUAAGGGCGCACGGUGGAUGCCUUGGCACCAGGAACCGAUGAAGGACGUGGGAGGCCACGAUAGGCCCCGGGGAGCUGUCAACCAAGCUUUGAUCCGGGGGUGUCCGAAUGGGGAAACCCGGCAGUCGUCAUGGGCUGUCACCCGCUGCUGAACACAUAGGCAGUGUGGAGGGAACGCGGGGAAGUGAAACAUCUCAGUACCCGCAGGAAGAGAAAACAACCGUGAUUCCGGGAGUAGUGGCGAGCGAAACCGGAUGAGGCCAAACCAGUCACGUGUGAUACCCGGCAGGGGUUGCGUGGUUGGGGUUGUGGGAUCUCUCUUCUGUUGUCUGCCGGCAACAGGACGAGUCAGAAACCGUUGAUGUAGGCGAAGGACAUGCGAAAGGUCCGGCGUAGAGGGUAAGACCCCCGUAGCUGAAACAUUAGCGGCUCGUUUGAGAGACACCCAAGUAGCACGGGGCCCGAGAAAUCCCGUGUGAAUCUGGCGGGACCACCCGUUAAGCCUAAAUAUUCCCUGGUGACCGAUAGCGGAUAGUACCGUGAGGGAAUGGUGAAAAGUACCGCGGGAGCGGAGUGAAAUAGUACCUGAAACCGUGUGCCUACAAGCCGUGGGAGCGUCGCUGUAUGUGCUUGCACAUGCAGUCGUGACUGCGUGCCUUUUGAAGAAUGAGCCUGCGAGUUUGCGGUAUGUUGCGAGGUUAACCCGUGUGGGGAAGCCGUAGCGAAAGCGAGUCCGAAUAGGGCGUUGAGUAGCGUGCCCAAGACCCGAAGCGGAGUGAUCUAGCCAUGGGCAGGUUGAAGCGGAGGUAAGACUUCGUGGAGGACCGAACCCACCAGGGUUGAAAACCUGGGGGAUGACCUGUGGUUAGGGGUGAAAGGCCAAUCAAACUCCGUGAUAGCUGGUUCUCCCCGAAAUGCAUUUAGGUGCAGCGUCGUGUGUUUCUUGCCGGAGGUAGAGCACUGGAUAGGCGAUGGGCCCUACCGGGUUACUGACCUUAGCCAAACUCCGAAUGCCGGUAAGUGAGAGCGCGGCAGUGAGACUGUGGGGGAUAAGCUCCAUGGUCGAGAGGGAAACAGCCCAGAGCAUCGACUAAGGCCCCUAAGCGUGUGCUAAGUGGGAAAGGAUGUGGAGUCGCAGAGACAACCAGGAGGUUGGCUUAGAAGCAGCCACCCUUGAAAGAGUGCGUAAUAGCUCACUGGUCAAGUGAUUCCGCGCCGACAAUGUAGCGGGGCUCAAGCACACCGCCGAAGUCGUGUCAUUGCAGUAAUACUCCCAACGGAGGCUGUGAUGGGUAGGGGAGCGUCGUGUGCCGGGUGAAGCAGCCGUGGAAACGAGUUGUGGACGGUUCACGAGUGAGAAUGCAGGCAUGAGUAGCGAUACACACGUGGGAAACGUGUGCGCCGAUUGACUAAGGGUUCCUGGGUCAAGCUGAUCUGCCCAGGGUAAGUCGGGACCUAAGGCGAGGCCGACAGGCGUAGUCGAUGGACAACCGGUUGAUAUUCCGGUACCCGCUUUGAAACGCCCAGUAUCGAAUCCAUUAAUGCUAAGGCCGUGAAGCCGGCCUGGAGUCUUCGGACGAAGGGACGUGGUGGAGCCGCCGAUCCAAGGUGGUAGUAGGUAAGCGAUGGGGUGACGCAGGAAGGUAGUCCAGCCCGGGCGGUGGUUGUCCCGGGGUAAGGGUGUAGGCCGUGUGGUAGGUAAAUCCGUCACACGUUAAGGCUGAGACCUGAUGCCGAGCCGAUUGUGGUGAAGUGGAUGAUCCUAUGCUGUCGAGAAAAGCCUCUAGCGAGUUUCAUGGCGGCCCGUACCCUAAACCGACUCAGGUGGUCAGGUAGAGAAUACCGAGGCGUUCGGUGAACUAUGGUUAAGGAACUCGGCAAAAUGCCCCCGUAACUUCGGGAGAAGGGGGGCCAUUUCCGGUGAUGAGACUUGCUCUCUGAGCUGGGGGUGGCCGCAGAGACCAGCGAGAAGCGACUGUUUACUAAAACACAGGUCCGUGCGAGCCGUAAGGCGAUGUAUACGGACUGACGCCUGCCCGGUGCUGGAACGUUAAGGGGACCGGUUAGUCGACCUUCGGGUCGGCGAAGCUGAGAACUUAAGCGCCAGUAAACGGCGGUGGUAACUAUAACCAUCCUAAGGUAGCGAAAUUCCUUGUCGGGUAAGUUCCGACCUGCACGAAUGGCGUAACGACUUCUCGACUGUCUCAACCAUAGGCCCGGUGAAAUUGCAUUACGAGUAAAGAUGCUCGUUUCGCGCAGCAGGACGGAAAGACCCCGGGACCUUUACUAUAGCUUGAUAUUGGUGUUCGGUUCGGCUUGUGUAGGAUAGGUGGGAGACUUUGAAGCGGCCACGCCAGUGGUUGUGGAGUCAUUGUUGAAAUACCACUCUGGUCGUGCUGGAUGUCUAACCUGGGUCCGUGAUCCGGAUCAGGGACAGUGUCUGGUGGGUAGUUUAACUGGGGCGGUUGCCUCCUAAAGAGUAACGGAGGCGCCCAAAGGUUCCCUCAGCCUGGUUGGCAAUCAGGUGUUGAGUGUAAGUGCACAAGGGAGCUUGACUGUGAGACUGACGGGUCGAGCA